AGAUUCAGUUGAAUCUCCAAGCUCAGCAAGCUCAUCUUCUACAGCAGUGUUUCCCAACCCUGGCCCUCAAGGUACACUGCCCUGCAUGUUUUAUGUAUUCCUUUGCUUCAAUCCAGCUGAUUUCAAUUGCUGAUUGAUUAACAGGCAUUUGCUGAACUGCAAUCAGUUGAAUUAGGCACAUUAAAGCAGGGAAACCUCUAAAACAUGUAGACAGUCUAAAACAGUGUGCCUUGAGGACCAGGGUUGGGAAACACUGUUCUACACUGAUCACAGAGAACACCAAAGCACAGAGAAGGCGACUGGCUGAAGGACUACCUGACAGUAAGAUGGCAAAAGAUGAGCAUUUCUAUGAUCCUCAGAGUGGACAGGGCUACCUGGCCUAUCGAUUGAAAACCGUUCAAUGUAGAACUGCAAAUGACUUCAAGAGGAGCUCCAGGUCUGCUCAUCAAGGCGGCCCGAAAACUCAGAGGGAAACCUCAACCUCUGAACAGCUGUUUGGUGAUGGAUGCAAAGAAGCAAUGUCCAUAACGAAGCAUGCAUCAGACCAGGAAGUUGUUAAGGAGAAAAUGAAGGUAACGUUUAAGCAUAGACAAAAUAUGCUACAUGAUCUGGACCAGUCAUCACUCAUUUCGGAUCACUUCCCAAUAUUCUUGGAUACACCAGGCUUGAUUGAGCAGGACUUUAUCAUGCUCUUUGGAGAAGAUAUCUUGGGGAAGUUUAUUGCAAGAUGGCCUUGCUGAUUGUGUUGUGAAGUUCAUGAAGGUGGGGACAAGCAUGGCGAUAUUUCUUGGCAAAGUUGGAUCUGCACAGCCCUUCCUCCUCUGCGUUGGAAAAAAGAAGAGCAGUAUUCAGAAGUUCUACAUCAUCCUGGAUCAGAAGUCCAUUCCUUGUGUGGCACAGACUGCAGUGGCUGCCUUCGAUGAACUGUUUAAGGCGCACUUGUGUUUGCAGUAUCCUACGAUGUUGUUCAUCUGUUUUUUACACAUAUUCUGUGUUAAAGAAGCACUUGAUGAAAGCACAUGUAGACACUAUUACCAUAGAUUCUGUUUAUGUGGACAAUGUUGGUACAGAUAGCGUUAAGGCUGAUGAUUAUCUGAAUGCUUUCAGAAUAGAGAUUGUGGAUGAUAAAACAUUUUGCUGUAAGAUUAA
This is a long non-coding RNA of Xiphophorus couchianus (Monterrey platyfish), 1149 nucleotides long. RefSeq lists it as uncharacterized. The record is from RefSeq and is a predicted model, not a curated record. The transcript has 4 exons. NCBI's taxonomy places the organism in Eukaryota, Metazoa, Chordata, Actinopteri, Cyprinodontiformes, Poeciliidae.